RNAcentral lists this ribosomal RNA (468 nucleotides) under uncultured bacterium. Its description in RNAcentral is "partial 16S ribosomal RNA". It matches the Rfam family "Bacterial small subunit ribosomal RNA", at positions 28 to 507 of the family's 1533-position model. The record is from RNAcentral.
GACGAACGCUGGCGGCGUGCUUAACACAUGCAAGUCGAACGGAAAGGCCCUGCUUUUGUGGGGUGCUCGAGUGGCGAACGGGUGAGUAACACGUGAGUAACCUGCCCUUGACUUUGGGAUAACUUCAGGAAACUGGGGCUAAUACCGGAUAGGAGCUCCUGCUGCAUGGUGGGGGUUGGAAAGUUUCGGCGGUUGGGGAUGGACUCGCGGGUUAUCAGCUUGUUGGUGGGGUAGGGGCUUACCAAGGCUUUGACGGGUAGCCGGCCUGAGAGGGUGACCGGCCACAUUGGGACUGAGAUACGGCCCAGACUCCUACGGGAGGCAGCGGUGGGGAAUAUUGCACAAUGGGCGGAAGCCUGAUGCAGCAACGCCGCGUGCGGGAUGACGGCCUUCGGGUUGUAAACCGCUUUCGCCUGUGACGAAGCCUGAGUGACGGUAAUGGGUAAAGAAGCACCGGCUAACUACGUG